RNAcentral lists this ribosomal RNA (774 nucleotides) under Triticum aestivum (bread wheat). RNAcentral describes it as "partial small subunit ribosomal RNA". Lineage: Eukaryota; Viridiplantae; Streptophyta; Magnoliopsida; Poales; Poaceae. The record is from RNAcentral.
AUGAGCACCAGCGAGGCCGCCACUGUCAUCCCCGUUUACGACGUCGCCCCCGGCCAGGGCGCGCCCUCCAACUCCAAGGCCCCCGCGGCGGCGCCUCCGGCUGCCGCUCCAGCCGCGGCCACGACGACGACGCCGCGCAAGUUCCCCAUGCGGUUCUUCCGGCGUAGCGACCGCGGCAGCCGGUGCAUGGCGUUCCUCGACCUCCUGCUGAGGAUCGCGGCGUUCGGGCCCGCGCUCGCGGCGGCCAUCGCCACCGGCACGUCCGACGAGACGCUCUCCGUCUUCACCGAGUUCUUCCAGUUCCGCGCCCGUUUCGACGACUUCCCGGCCUUCCUGUUCCUCAUGGUGGCGAGUGCGAUCGCCGCGGGGUACCUGCUCUUAUCGCUCCCGUUCUCCGCCGUCGUCGUGCUGCGGCCUCAAACCACCGUCCUGAGGCUUCUCUUGCUCGUCUGCGACACGGUAACAACUGACAAGCCCUUUUCUUUCUUCCCGACUCGCUCCAACGGCGCCACGCACAUCAUGCACGUGACAGGGCGGUUAACCAUUGCGAUCAUGCAGAUCAUGCUCGGGCUGCUGACGGCGGGGGCAGCGGCGGCGGCGGCCAUCGUGGACCUGGCGCACAGCGGGAACGAGCGCGCCAACUGGGUGCCCAUCUGCAUGCAGUUCCACGGCUUCUGCCGGCGCACGAGCGGCGCAGUCGUGGCCUCCUUCCUCUCGGUCUUCAUCUUCGUGCUCCUCGUCGUCCUCGCCGCCUUCUCCAUCAGGAAGCGCUGA